Molecule: ribosomal RNA, 491 nt
Filed under: Variovorax sp. CL3.38
Lineage: Bacteria; Pseudomonadati; Pseudomonadota; Betaproteobacteria; Burkholderiales; Comamonadaceae
Description: bacterial SSU rRNA
Rfam family: Bacterial small subunit ribosomal RNA
Source: RNAcentral
CCCUGGCUCAGAUUGAACGCUGGCGGCAUGCUUUACACAUGCAAGUCGAAUGGCAGCACGGGAGCAAUCCUGGUGGCGAGUGGCGAACGGGUGAGUAAUACAUCGGAACGUGCCCAAUCGUGGGGGAUAACGCAGCGAAAGCUGUGCUAAUACCGCAUAAGAUCUACGGAUGAAAGCAGGGGAUCGCAAGACCUUGCGCGAAUGGAGCGGCCGAUGGCAGAUUAGGUAGUUGGUGAGGUAAAGGCUCACCAAGCCUUCGAUCUGUAGCUGGUCUGAGAGGACGACCAGCCACACUGGGACUGAGACACGGCCCAGACUCCUACGGGAGGCAGCAGUGGGGAAUUUUGGACAAUGGGCGCAAGCCUGAUCCAGCCAUGCCGCGUGCAGGAUGAAGGCCUUCGGGUUGUAAACUGCUUUUGUACGGAACGAAACGGUCCCUUCUAAUACAGGGGGCUAAUGACGGUACCGUAAGAAUAAGCACCGGCUAACUA